Long non-coding RNA from Salvia splendens (bonfire salvia), 5979 nucleotides. RefSeq lists it as uncharacterized. The transcript is spliced from 2 exons. NCBI's taxonomy places the organism in Eukaryota, Viridiplantae, Streptophyta, Magnoliopsida, Lamiales, Lamiaceae. The record is from RefSeq and is a predicted model, not a curated record.
AGGAAAUAGGAAUGUUGGAUUGAUAUAUUUCUCCGCCGCCCAGAACUCGUUUUUCCCUCUAACCAGAACUAUAACUCCGUCGGGCUUUUGCCAGUUGCUCAAGAGAUUCGUAUUAAUGAUGUCCCUGCUGAGGAUUGAGAUUUGAGUUUUUAAUUGUGAUCUGGAGCAUUUCAGAAGACUUAAAUGAGUAAUGACUCAUGACUGACAGUAGGUAAGUGGAUAGUCAAAGAUGAUAAAAAUUAAAAAGGAAAAAGAAGAGAAAGUCCAUUUGUGAAUGAAAGGCAUCAAACAUAACUGUAUAGAUAGAUGAGGGCAUUCCAAGAACUCGGGACCUCUUGCACCUAAAGCGAGAAUCAUACCACUACACCAAAUCUUCAGUUAUUAACUGGCAAUUGGCAAAAGCUUGAGUUCCUUUGCAGUUCUGCAUUUAGCCCUUUCACAUGUUUCUCUUGGUUUUACUAUUUGCAUAUGAUCUAUAAUGCAAUUAUUGUUUCUCCAGUUCUCCCUAUUUGUUUUUUUGUGAUACUCUACCAGUUAUUGCAAAUGCUUUUAAAUAAAAUUUAAUAUUUAUAUAACCAUCGUCUGGUAAUGAUCCCAAUCCAUAUUUUAAUUAUCUAUGAUAAGGUUGAAGUUUGAGAUUUAUGGAGGAACUGGCUAUUAUAAUUACUUGACAAAAUUGUAAUUAAUCAAAUUGAUAAUGACAUAGAAAAGAAAUGAGUUUAUUUGUGGAAUAUAAUGUAUGCUAAAAGGGGCAUUCCAAAACCAGACUCGGGACCUCUCAUCCAAAGCUAAAAUGAUAACACUAGACCAGCUGCCCUGUUGUUAUCUGUCUUCUUAAAUAUAUUCUACUCUAGACCAACUGCCCUGUAGUACACAGUGAAUAACACUCAAGGGCUUGAUUUGUAGAGGACUACUGGCCUAGCUAGAAUUUUUGUGUUUUAACAACAUAUAAUUUCUGUACCCUUUGAUAGACAUAAUGGAGUGACAUGGUGAAGGGUCUAGUGAAUGAGAAUGACAGCCAUAUUCAAUUUAACCAAUGUUCCAUUGCUUUAUGAAGAAUAAUAAAAGAGUCAAUUUUGUUAACCGUCCAUGUACUUGACACUUGACAGUGGUAUUUGGACUGGUAUAUUCUGGCAUUAUGUAGAAAUGGGAUUUUAGUGUCUCUAGCUACUAAUUGUGCUUCUAUAACUGCCAUUGCCAAACAGACUAUCCCCAUACUUUUCUUUAGACUGUUUCUCUAGCUUUACUUUUAUUGGCAAGUUAUUAGCAAGUCUCACUGAUUUCAUUUUGUUGUUGUUAAUGACCAUAUUCUGCUGCUCUGGAAUGCUUUAGGCAAGUUCACCUUAAAGCUUAAAAUAAUUUCUGAAAAUAUCUGAUUUUCUUUCUCAUUCAUGGUAGAUUGAAUACCUAUUCUCCAGGUGUUAUUUAGACUGUAAUGUGAUAUCAGUUUCAGACUUCCAGUUUUACUUGCCACAGUUCACCACCUUCACAUUUCAGUAUCUUUGUUGUCCAGUUGUCCUCAAGUUCCAAAAAUAAUACAACACAUAGAUAAGGCUUAUAUAUAUUCAUAAUUAGAGCUGGGCAUUCUGAGAAUUGGCUAAUGACCUUCUAGCUCUUGCACCACAGGUAGAGUCAUAACACUAGGCCAAAUAUCCAAUUGUUUGCUUAAAGCUCUUAAUCAAAGUUUUUUUAACUGGGAAUCAAUCUCCCUCGAGCUCCUAUAUACCAUGUUCAUAGAUCUCAUGUUUUAACGUCAUUAUUUUAGAAGCCCUGGCAUAUUUUAGAAAAUGUCGUAUCUUUUCCUGAUGGCUUUAUGGUGUGCUGCUAAAUUGGUUCCUCGUUUUUUUGUGUGUGUGUGUGGUUGUUGUUGUUGUUAUCUAAUGUGGCUUGAUACCUGUUGACUCUUUGGAUGGCUAGUUUGUUAAUUGUUUAUUCUUAUUUAAUUAUAUAAUCAUUUAUACAGCACUUCGUCUACAUCAUAAUUAUAUCUGUUGAGGGAUUUAUCUUUGUUGCUGCACUAGUCCCGUGGAUCAUUUGGACAUUUAGUGAGGGAAGUGAUUUCGCAAAUCACAACCUAUAUAGCUGUUAAUCAGUAACAAUUCUGUAUAUGUUACAAACACAUUUUCUUUGUUUGACUUUUUUUUAGAUCUAAGCAGUUAUAGUUUUCAUAAAUGAUCUCCUAAAAGAUUGUAGUCAAAUCUGAGUUUUUCUUCAUCAUGGACCACAUAUUGCUAUUUAGGAAUUGUUUCUUGUCAGACUGUUUUCUUUGAUAGGUAUAAAAAAAUAAAUAUUGUAAAUUAGCAGAAAUAAAUGCAGGUGAGAUGUCCAUCCAAUCUCUCAUCUUUCAGAUCGAAUCUCUCUGGCACAUUAAUAAAUAAAUAUAGUGAUUGGGGUAAAAGCAAAUAAAUCUAUCUAAUUACUUGUUUAAAAGGGGCAUUCCGAGAAUCGAACUCGGGACCUCUCGCACCCGAAGCGAGAAUCAUACCACUAGACCAAAUGCCCAAUUUAUUCUUCACAUUCUGCCUUUUCUAAUCCCAUCUUUGUUGUUCAUCAGGACUAUUUUUUAAAAUAAACUCGGUCUUGGAUGGCUGAUUAAUCAUUGCUACCACAGUGUAGUUACUGAAUAGAGAAACCUGUGGUAAUUGAUUAACAUACGAAAAUGGUUUGGACGUGACAGAUAUUUGUUGAAAGUGUGUGCCAAAAUAAAAGCUAUGGAAAAAAUGGAAUAUCCUUGUGAAUAUCUUUUGCAUCAUUGCAAUUUACCAUUUUUUGUGCUAUUUAUGAACUAUAAUGCAGUUAUCGCUUCCUGCAAUUUUUUUUAUGAAAGUUUGAUGCGCUAUUGCUAGUACUUUAUUUUGUUUUCCUUUCUAUUUUUGAAUUUCAAAAGUUGAUCACUAUUUCUCUUUUACUAAUCGAUGCUGUGGUUGGAGUUUAAGUACGGAGAAGUUAGUCCAUCAUAAUUUCUUGAGCAGCUGAAUGUAGGUAAAUUGACAGUGGAAUGGAAAAAGGUAAUUAAAAGAGUUAUUUGUGGAAGAUAAUGUAGAUAAAAAAGGGGCAUUCCGAGAAUCGAACUCGGGACCUCUCGCACCCAAAGCGAGAAUCAUACCACUAGACCAAAUGCCCUGUUAUCAUCUGUCUUAGAUUUGAUUUCAUAUAGGGAAUAACACCUGGGACUUUGAUUUUUUGGAUAGUUGACCUAGUUGGAUUUUUGUGAGGACCAUGUGUUGUUACUUGCUAAUUUGCUAUUCAGGAUUUGUAUAUUGUCAGGCAGAUUUCUUUGAUGGGAAAUAACCAUUCAUUAUUGUAAAAUUAGCAGAGAUACACCUUGGCUAUCCAAUCUCUCAUCCGUCAGACUGUCACAGAUCCAACCUGUCAGACUCAUUAGUUGAAAAAUAAGUGAAUUGAGAGAAGCCAAAAAAAUAACUAUUUACUAGUUACUUUUUUAAAAGGGGCAUUCCGAGAAUCGAACUCGGGACCUCUCGCACCCAAAGCGAGAAUCAUACCACUAGACCAAAUGCCCUGAUGUCAUGUCUUCUUGUAUAUAAUUGUAUAUAGUGCUGUAUACUUCGGUAGACAUGUAGGAGUCACAGUUAGUUUGGUUAAAAGUAGUACUCAGUAGUAAAUAUCAGCUUUGUACAAAUUCAUAUGUUUCAUUUCUUCUUAACAAGAUACCUAUCGUUCAUUGUUUGCAAAUCAUCUGCCUAACCUGCAUCCAUCUCUUUCCCAGUUGCCUUUUGGAUCUGUUCGUUCAUGCAUUAUGCAUCAUUAUUCGUUAAGGGGGGAUUUUAGGAUAUAUAUAGCUAGUUCUGAUAAUACCAUGAGUCGGUGACUGUCAUCACAUUGCAGUAUGCUUGUUGCUCUCCAGAUUCCAAUAAUAAAAUUAGAAGAAAAAUAGGGUUUUAUGUUCAUUAUUGGACUGGGCAAUUCUGAGCAUCAACUUGGGUCAUCUUGGCUCUGCACUCAAAUGAGAGUCACACCACUAGAUCAGAUGCCCUGUUCUUUACUUAAGCUCUUAACUAACCUGUUGACCUGAAUACUUAAUAUUCCAAAACUUUAUUUUGGCUAGAAUUAUAUUAUUAGUGCACUUAUACAUUAGUUGACUUCUAUUGUACUUAUUAAACUUUCCUUGUUAUCCUAUAACUAUUAAGGCAUAAAAAGUAUUUUCUUAGAGGGACAUUCCGAGAAUCAAACUCGGGACCUCUCACACAGAAAGCGAGAAUCAUACCACUAGACCAAAUGCCCUGUAGUCAUAUGUCUUCUUACAACUGUACAUAGGGCUGUAUACUUUGGUAGCCACGUAGGAGUCAUAGUUAAUUUGGUUAAAAGUCUAGUAAAUAUCAGCUGUGUACAAGUAUAUUAAUGUUUCAUUUCUAUUUUUAACAAGAAAUCUAAGAUUCAUUGUUUGCUAAGUCAUGUGUAAAAUAACCUGAAUCCAUCUUUUCCUCAGUUGCCGUUGGACCAGUUCAUUCAGACAUUAUGUAUAAUUAAUGGGGGAUCUUAGGAUAAUUAUUUUUUAGUUCUGAUCAUACAUGACUAGGUGAGUGUCAUCACAUUGCAGCAUCCUUUUUGCUCUCCAGAUUCCGAUAUAAUAAAAAUAAGAAAUUAAGGUUUUUAUACUCACUAUUGGACUGGGUAAUUCUGAGCAUAGACUUGGGACUUCAUGGCUCUGCACUCAAAGGAAGAUUCAUACAUUACCACUAUAUCAGAUGCCCUGUAGUUUACUAAAGCUCUUAAAUCAACCUGUUGUCUGAAUACAUAGUUUGCCAUACGUUUAUUGACUAGAACUAUAUUAUCGGUGCACUUAUGCGUUACACAGUUGACUUUUUUAUGUCAUUAAAGGCAUAAAAAAUAUUUUCUUAGAGGGGCAUUCCGAGAAUCGAACUCGGGACCUCUCGCACCCAAAGCGAGAAUCAUACCACUAGACCAAAUGCCCUGUGAUAUACUAAGGCUCUUAGUCAAUCUCUUUCACUUGGAAAUGAUACAUCAUCAGUUAUAUUCUUUCUUGAAUGCUUUUACUAGCAAGAGUAGAGUGAUAUUGAUAUAUUUUUCUAAAAAAUAUAACUUGUCAUUUGAUGCCCUAUUUUUUUAGUAAUUUCUUAAUAAAUUGAUUACUUGUUCCAAAUUUUUAAUGGUUAUCAGCCCCUUUUGGCUUUGAAUGCCUCAACUGUGUGCUUUCUUAGUUUUCUCUACAAAUUACUACUUGUGAACUUUUAUACUAAAACCCCUUCUUGUAGCAUGGUGUUUUUGAUACUCAUCAGCUAUUUGUAGUUCAUAUUAAACCAAGCUGGUUAUUCAUCACAGUUGUUUCUGUUGGCGGACUUUCUUGGUUGUCUCAGUAAAUUUAGGUAUUUGCAAGAGGAAUCUAAAAUCUGUACCGGCUAUAAUACUAGCUAAUACUUGUAUAUCCAUGGAGUUAUUGUCUGUUUCACCUGCAUCCUUCCUCUGGUUAAUAAAUUUUGGAUUUAUAUCACCUAGCUAUAUGUUGGAUUGCCAUUGAUGCUACUUACAAGUAUAGUCCUACAUAAAAAUGCACAAUAUGGUGACAGAAUUUAAUUGGCAGUGCACAAUAUGGUCACUGAAAUAAUUAGAAGUGGAGUCUUUUUCUGGUUUCUUUUAGGUUUCGAUGACAGCCUGGAUAUGCUUUCAGUGGCUUAUCUCAGUAAUACUAGCUCAAGUUUUGCGAACUAGUGUAAUUUUUUGUCAUGUAUUGGUAAGAUCUCCAAGAAUUAGGCAAAUAUGUCUAGUUAUGCUUCUCAAAGUUCAUUGAAGGAUUGAUAUGUAGAAUGCAGGUGAUCGGACUUGUGACAAAGUAACGUGACCGAGUUUAAACCCACUCUUGUAGGAGUAUAUGUUUUCUACUAUUGUUUGCGUUCAUAUCUCUACUUCAAUAACUCUCGAGUGAAUGUAUUCAGACUCUGCUAGUAGAGUUAUUUUCCCAUUUUUAUAUCAUUCAAAAUUUAUUUUGAGUUAUUAGUAUUA